CCCCAAUUAAAUCGAGCUACCCACCUCCGUAUCGUCGUCGCGGAGGGAGAAUUACUGUGAGAGUUAUGGAGAACACGCGCUAAAAGCUUCUCCUUGAUUAUUCCUUGAGCCGGGGCUAGGGGAAUGGGAAUGAGUUUGAGUGGAAGUAAUUUGAUGAGCAUUAGGAAGAAAGGGUUGAUGGGAAGUGGUGUGGUCACUAUGGUUUGAGGAGGAGGUUGGCCUGGGUUUUGAUAAUGGAGACAGCAACCACGACUCCGUUCGUGUUGUCUUCAACCUUCCGAACCAACUUUUUUGAAUUGCCACCGCACUGCACUGGAAUCUCAUCGCCGGAGUUUGUCGCCGCCGGCCAUGGUUUACUUUCAACGAUGGUGAUUCGGAAAUUGAUAGAUUUAUUUGUUUCCAUACUCAGUUGAGUUCUUUUUAAGUUAUCAAGUCCAGGCAGGAUUAAAACUUUCCAAAUCCAAUCUGUUUCCAAUCAAAUCCAUGUCAGGGUUGGAUACUAAUCCAUUCCAGUCUCAGAUUCUCUCUCAUAUAAGAUCUCAUUGGGAGAGAAUUUGAGUCUGAGAAGAUUAUAAAACCCUAAACUCUUAAACAAAACAAAAAAAACUUUGCCGCUCGACGUAUCCAUGGCCUCAGCUCAAAUCUUAGAGGUUCCGACGGAGUCGGUGAGGGCGGUUAGUUUCAGCUUCUUUACAGACGAAGAGGCGUCAAAGCAGAGUGUCGUCAAGAUUACUAAACCGGACUUGGUUGAUGAAUUAGGAACGCCGGUGCAAGGUGGCCUUUAUGAUCCGGCAAUGGGUCCUCUCGACGACAGAAGCCACACAUGUUGCAGAACAUGUGGCCAGAACGCGUAUAAUUGCCAAGGCCAUUUUGGUCAUAUUGACAUUGUUUUGCCCGUCUAUAAUCCAUUGUUGUUCAAUCAUCUUUACAAACUUCUACAAAGAACCUGCUUCAAUUGUUGCUGUUUUCGAACAAGCCGAGAGCAGGUUCAAAAAUGUGUUUCCCAAUUGGAACUCGUGAUGAGAGGUGAUGUUGUUGCGGCAAAGAGAUUAGACUCUGACUCGUCUAAUCAUCACUCAUAUCUCAAGGAGGGCGGGGAAGGAAAUGAUAGUGAGAGAGACAGGCAUUCGAAGCCGGAAAGAUGGACAUCUCUUCAGUUCACAGAAGCCAUGUCUAUUUUGAAUUGUUCUCUGGAGACACAACAAACGUGCAAGAAUUGUGGACACAAGAAUCCUAAAAUCACUAAACCGACUUUUGGUUGGUUUGAGAGGAGUGGGGCUGAAAAUGCUAGAAAAAAUGUAAUCAGAAAAUGCAAACUGGUAGGACCUUUAACUGUUCAAGAAGAGGGUGAAUCUUGUGGCAACGAUGUUGAUGCAGGCAUAUCUGAUAUAUCUUGUGCAUCCUCAUUUGUGACUCAAGAUACUGCAACGAAGAAGAGUGAAGAACAAGAGAGCAUAGUGCUGGAUCAGUAUUUUAAGCAGAAAGAAGCCUUAUCAGGAGAUCUUACACCAAAAAAGGUAAAAGAAAUAAUGAGCCUUUUGUGGACAAAAGAGGCUCAACUCUGCUCUUAUCUUAGUGAUAUCCAACGCCAAGGAGUGGAAAGAAAAGGUCACUAUAUGUUUUUCUUAGAGAGUGUUCUUGUACCACCUAUCAAAUUUCGUCCUCCGGCUCAUAGUGGUGAUUCUGUGAUGGAGCAUGCGCAAACUGUUUCAUUAGGUGAGGUGGUUCGGGCAAAUUCGUACUUGAAAGAUGCUCUGGAUAAGAACAAAGUGUCGCAGAUAAUUCAGUGCUGGAAGCGACUUCAGGAUUGUAUUAAUCUAAUGUUUGAUGGUGAGUGAAUGUUUAUUUCAAAUAUUUUUUCUCUACGUACCAGUCCAGGGAUGUGUGGCAUUCUGGAGAAGAAGGCAGGCAUGUUUCGCCAGAAACUGAUGGGAAAGAGGGUUAAUUUUGCAUGCCGGUCUGUUAUAUCCCCAGACCCCUAUUUAGCUGUUAAUGAGAUUGGAAUUCCACCAAUCUUUGCAUUGACAUUAACAUAUCCUGAGAGAGUUACUCCGUGGAAUGUUUUCAAGUUGAGAAAUGCUAUUGUCAAUGGUUCUGAAAUCCAUCCUGGAGCUACACACUAUAUUGAUAAAACAUCUAUCAAGUUGCCUCAAAAGCGGAGGGAGCGCCUUUUAUUGUCAAGAAAGUUACCUUCUUCGAAAGGGGCAGGGACACAACAUGGGAAGGGAUCUGACUACGAAAACAAAAUUGUACUUCGUCACUUGCAAGAUGGGGACAUUGUUCUUGUUAAUCGCCAGCCUACACUUCACAAACCCAGUAUAAUGGCUCAUAUAGUUCGUGUGUUGAAGGGGGAGAAAACAUUACGCAUGCACUAUGCAAAUUGCAGUACAUACAAUGCAGAUUUUGAUGGUGAUGAAAUGAAUGUUCAUUUGCCACAAGAUGAAAUUUCUCGUGCUGAAGCUUACAAUUUGGUGAACGCAAACAAUCAAUACGUAAAGCCCACUAGUGGUGUUCCCAUUCGAGCCUUAAUUCAGGACCAUAUCAUAAGUUCUCUGUUCCUUUCAGAAAAGGACACCUUUUUCGACUUGGAUGAAAUGAAUCAGCUUCUGUAUAGUUCUUCUGUUUCAGCAUGUGGUUCAGAAACUUUCUCUGGCAAGCCAGGUCAAAAGGUUCUAAUGUCCAACUCUGAAGAUGCAAUGCAGCUCCCCCUUCCUGCAAUUUGGAAACCAGUGCGUAAGUGGCCUGGCAAGCAGAUCAUCACUACCUUGCUAAAUCGAAUUACAAGUGGUUCUCCCCCACUUACUUUUGAAAAGGAAGCAAAACUUCCAUCUGGGUUUUUCAACUGUAAGACUCCUGUAGAAGAAGAGAGAUCUGCUAAAGGUCACCGAGCAAAAGAGAAGCAGUCAAGAAUAAAAGAAGCUGGUAAAGAUGAUUCAAGGGAAAAAGAGGAGCCAGAUGAGAGCAAGUUGUUAAUCUACAAAAACAACUUGGUGCGUGGAGUGAUUGACAAAAACCAGUUUGGUGAUUAUGGUUUGGUCCAUAAUGUGCAGGAACUCUAUGGUUCGGAAGCUGCAGGAAAAUUGCUUUCUGCUUUUAGCCGUUUAUAUACUGUUUAUUUACAGAUGCAUGGGUUCACAUGUGGAGUUGACGAUCUUUUGCUAUUACAAAGCAAAGACAAAAAAAUGAAGGAACAACUUGAAAGUUGUGAAGAGCUUGGUGAAAAAGUUAUCCGUGAGUUUAUUGGGGUCAGACAAAAUGAAAGAAAAGGUGCAUUGAUAUUGCAAUCGGAUAUUGAAGAAUUUUUGCGCAACAAUGGAGAAUCUGUGUCGGAAAUGUUGGACAGGAAAAUGACAAGUGAACUUAAUAAGAAAAUCUCCAAUUCUGAUGUCUUCAAACAACUGUUUCAGAAAGGUUUAUCAAAACCAUCUGUUAAGAAUUGUAUGUAUCUUAUGACAAGCUCUGGGGCUAAAGGUGGUGUGGCAAAUCUCCAACAAAUUGCUGCAUACUUGGGUCAGCAAGAGCUAGAAGGCAAGCGAGUCCCUCAAAUGGUUUCUGGAAAAACCUUACCAUGCUUCCCUCCAUGGGAUUGGUCACCUCGAGCUGGAGGUUUUAUUAUUGAUCGUUUUCUUACCGGUCUUCAUCCUCAGGAGUAUUAUUUUCACUGCAUGGCUGGCCGUGAAGGGCUGGUUGAUACAGCUGUUAAAACUUCUCGUAGUGGAUACUUGCAAAGAUGCUUAAUCAAGAAUCUCGAAUGCCUUAAGGUUUCUUAUGACUACACUGUUCGCGAUGCUGAUGGUUCGAUUAUUCAAUUCCGAUAUGGGGAGGAUGGUAUUGAUGUCCAUUUGACAAGUUUUGUUCAAAAAUUUGAAAAACUGGCGAAUAAUAAAGAAAUGUUUGACAAGAGAUUUGGUCGUGAAAUUGAUAAGUUCAAUCCCUAUAUUGAUGAGUUGCCUCCCGCUCUCAAAAGAAAAGCAGAGAUGUCAGGUCCUGAUUUCUCUUUGAAGGAAAAGAAUGCCAACUUGAAGUUAAUGGAGCACAAAUUUCUCAGCAGUCUUGCGCAACCAGGAGAACCAGUUGGUAUUCUUGCUGCUCAGUCUGUUGGAGAACCAUCAACACAAAUGACUCUGAAUACCUUCCAUAACGCUGGGCGAAGUGAAAUGAAUGUGACUCUUGGCAUUCCUCGGCUCCAAGAGAUCUUGAUGACUGCUUCAAUUGAUAUCAAGACUCCAGUUAUGACAUGUCCAUUGAGAAUGGGGAAAGCGGAAGAUGCUAAAAGUCUAGCUGUUAGGUUGAAGAGGAUCACCGUGGCAGACAUAAUAGAGAGCAUGAAAGUAAAUAUUAAACCAUUUACACAUCAGGACCAUCAGACCUGCCGUGUUUAUGAGCUUGAGAUGACGUUUUUUAUACCGGAACAUCUUUCGAAAUUUUCAGAAGAUUGGGAGGAACUCCUAAAGGUUAAAUUUGUCAGGGCUUUGGAGGAUGCCAUACAAAAUCAUCUUGUUUUGCUUUCUAAAAUUAGUGGUAUAAAAGAUAUAAAGGCUGAUUCACUGCCGAAGGCAUCAAAUGAGACAGACGAAGAUAUUUCUUGUAACAUAUCCCAGCAUGAGGAAGAAGGUGGCGACGAUGACAAUUUAGAUGACAGUGGUGAAGGAGCUGAGGAUUUUGGGUUGGAUGCACAAAAACGAAAGCGACAGGGUACAGAUGAGAUGGAGUAUGAUGAUGACUGGGAGGAUGAAUUGAAUGAAGGUCAUCAUUCUGAUGGAUUUGACAACGAAAUUGAUAAUGGGGAGAUUGAUGUUGAAAUUGAUAAGGAUGGUGUGACAGGGAUCUCAGAUGCUAAUGAUAAAAUGCAAGAAAGUCGUUCAACUGGAGGUAUAUCUAAGCCACACUCGAAGGGAAAAAAGACCAAAUCAAGAGAUAAAAUAAAAAAGAAGACCAGUGCAAAGCUAGUAAGAAAGGAGUAUGACAGGGCAACUUUUGUGUCAGCCAAGGGCUUCCACUUUGAGAUCCAUUUUAAAUUUACCAAUGAACCUCAUAUUCUUUUGGAUCAGAUUGCUCGGAAGACAGCCCGAAAUGUUUAUGUCAAAAGCUCUGGCAAUAUUUUGGAUUGUCAAGAUAUUGAUAUUUAUGGUAAUGAAGAUCAAGUUUUCUGCUGCUGGAAUGAUCCCAGAAAUAAAUUAUCGGGUGAAAAGAAUCCCUCAGAAGAAGAAAAGAAGAUGCGAGCCUUGCAAACAGCAGGCGUGGAUUUUGCUACUCUAUGGAAACUGCAAGAUGUUCUUGAUGUCAACUAUAUAUGUUCCAACAACAUUCAUGCCAUGCUGAACACUUACGGAGUAGAAGCUGCCAGAGAAACUAUCAUCAAAGAAAUAAGUAACGUUUUCAAGGUGUAUGGGAUAUCUGUCAAUAUUAGACACCUUUCACUGAUAGCUGACUACAUGACUCAUAGUGGUGGUUAUCGUCCAAUGAACAGAUUUGGGGGAAUAGCGGAGUCUACAUCUCCGAUGAAUAAAAUGUCAUUUGAGACGGCUUCCAAGUUCAUUCAGGAAGCAGCAUAUCAUGGGGAGAAGGAUGACUUGGAAACCCCAUCUGCUAGGACCUGUCUUGGGCUGCCGGUGAAAGUGGGUACUGGAUGUUUUGAUUUGAUGCACAAGAUGGAGAUUUAGAUGUAGUUUAACUUUAAUGUAUGUAUAUGCCUUGCUUUAGGGUUGCUUGACCAUUCACGAUUUCAUUACUUAUUUUAUUUUUUAUUAUUUUUGUUACAAAUGAGGCCAAAGUCCCAGAGCAAAACAACUAAAACAAGCU
This is an RNA transcript of Fragaria vesca subsp. vesca, 5802 nucleotides long. It is a transcript of the gene named DNA-directed RNA polymerase I subunit RPA1-like, with no coding region annotated. The transcript has 22 exons. Lineage: Eukaryota; Viridiplantae; Streptophyta; Magnoliopsida; Rosales; Rosaceae. The record is from RefSeq and is a predicted model, not a curated record.